AAGCAAGAGACUAUCGGGAAGAGGCGCCCAGGCGGAGAGCAGGAGGCCAUUCUGACUCAGGGUCCUUCCUGGCGGCGCGUGCAACCACUCAGCCAAGAUGGAUUCCAGCCAGGAGGAUUCUGGGAGGUUGGUAGGACAUGUGGACUGGCGUCUCCUCUCUCCUUUUGACCUUUCCCGUAUUCUUCUGGUUGGUGGUGGCUUGUUAGUACCGUGUUCCUUACCAGGAUCUCCUGUCGUAAAAUAAUUCAUGCAAAUUGCUACUGUCUUUGCCUGGCCAGGGUGGGCGGUUUCGGUCAGUGUUCCCCCUAACACUUGAAGAGGCAGCAUUUUAGCCUCACUCUUUUGCCGAUAGCCUUGUUUAAUUCACAGUACUUACAACAGGAGCUUGUGCUGAGAAGACCUCAUAAUAGGAAACCAAGAGAUGAGGGAUUCUUUGUCGACGGUUCCCAAUUUACAAUCAGGUUCUCUUUCAAGAGCAUGUGGGUUUGCAUUUCCCCAUAGAAAUAAUGUUCUAGGUGAGAGGAAGUAGAGAGGCAGGGCCUGCCAGGUUUUGGGGUGAUGGAGGGUGGGACCCUCCCUCCAGGGCCUGCGGCUGGCUGUGCUGGGAGGGAGGAACUGGGAUCCCCCCAGCCCUACUCUGGGGUUUCUCCAGGCUGUGUGGUUGCCAGUAGCUGAUUCUUAAUAAUUUAGAUUCUUAAUAAUUUAGAUCUUUAUGCUUUGAAGACAGAAGUUAAGAGAAACAAAGGAUUUGAAAGCAUGUUUUAUAAACUGUUUCUUAAAGACAUUUCAAGAGAAAACCACUUGUAAAGAAAUUAUUUCCUUACCCUAUUUACUUCUUUCAACCAGUAAGUACCUGCCUACCUCAGGGGGUUAUUGGUAACACGAAGCAAGGGGUGUGUGUGUGUGUGUGUGUGUGUGUGUGUGUGUGUGAGAGAGAGAGAGAGAGAGAGAGAGAGCGCGAGCACUUUGUUGACUGCAAGGCACUGGGGAAAUGCAAGGUGGCAUGAUUUUCAUUACGAUAGUCUCAGCCAACAGGCUCAGUCCCCAAGAUGACAAAUCAAUCUUAAACACACAGUUUGAAAAGGAGCAGGGUGAAAAUUUCUGCUCAAACCCCUUAUGAUUUAAGCUGAUGAGAACUUCGGAAAGAGCCAAGCUGCACUGCUGAAGACUUGAAUAAGAGGGGAAAUUUAACCCAGAUAAGGACAAGUAAUAACGCUUUAGAGGAAACAUUAAACACGCUAUUAGACCUGAAUGGCUUGUUAGCUUCUGAUGCAUCAAAUCGUCAGAGAGCAGGUGUAGCAGAGAAAAGGUAAGCUGGGCAGGGAGGCUGGACCUCUGUAACCUGGCUAAGGGACUGCAUGGGGACCCAGGACACCAUAGAGGGUCAGCAACCAUUUGCCAGGACUGAGUGGUUUCCUGGGCUGUGGGACUUUGAGUGCUAAAAUGAUGAAAGUCCUAGGUAAAUCAAGAGUUGGUCGCCUUAAGACCACAGCAGCUGUCUCUGGUGCUCUCUGGGAUGAACAAGCCAUGUAACUUCCCCAUACCUUCUUUCCUCUGUUCAUAAGUGAAGUUAUCCUGUGUUCCUCUUCCACAGGGGAAUUCCCCUUCCUUAGCAAAUACCACUAAAUUUCACCACCCCAAUGCCAGAACAAAGAUGCCGCAGUGUUGUUUUUUCUUUUUUUUUUAAUUUGUGGGAAAACCCAUAAACAUAGGAUACUUAUGAGUUAAAAGCUUCCAGACAAGUUAGGAGUCGGUUGUCAAUGGUAGGACCUGGAAUUGUGAAAGAAAGCUUCAGACAUGUGAUUCCAUGGGAUCUCCUGAGGAUAAAUAUGAGGUCAGAGGAAAGGGAGAAGAAGCUAGUACAAAGCAGAUAGGGUACUCUUUCCAGAAAGAAGUCAGUGCUGGGAAAUUCUGUGGACACAGUCCAGGGAAAUUGCCAAGGUGGAAUUCAGGUUAACUGUAAGGAGAACAGUUUUGUCUGGAAGCUAAGCAGAAUCCAGGACCCUGAAAAGACCUAACUUUUCUGAGGGUCUAGAGAGGCUGAAAAAAGUAGAUUUGGCUUUAAACUGGAGGAUGGACUGUGGAAGGACAGAAUGAUUGAAAGGAUCAAGCUACUGAAGGACCAUCAGAGAAAGAAGUGAGAAGGAGGGGCUGGAACUUGUUUGCAGUCUGAGUGGGGUAAUGUGAAAUUAUGCACCUGGAACUUCUCAAUCUGUACAGUUUAUAUGCUGAGACCUCCCUGUACUGCAGGCUCAGAAUCAGGCAGGUAAUUGUGCUACCCACUGCAACAAGCAUGCAGAAGGGAUGUGUGAGAGCAAAGAAUUAAGUCAAAACUGUGGGGUGCUCUCUAUAUAAAUGCAGUAGUUAUUCAGAGAAGGGACUCUGGAGUCCCGGACAAGAAGACAGCCUUCCCGUGGUUGUUAAAAGAUGGUCAGAGAGAAAGAAGGAUGGCUUUCCAGGUAGCGGAAUAGCCAAAGCAAAGCUACAGAAUGUGUUUGUUUAAAAGUAGAGAAGACUGGGCUUCCCUGGUGGCGCAGUGGUUGAGAGUCCGCCUGCCGUUGCAGGGGACGCGGGUUCGUGCCCCGGUCUGGGAAGAUCCCACAUGCCGCGGAGCGGCUGGGCCCGUGAGCCAUGGCCGCUGAGCCUGCGCGUCCGGAGC
Long non-coding RNA from Orcinus orca (killer whale), 2659 nucleotides. RefSeq lists it as uncharacterized. The record is from RefSeq and is a predicted model, not a curated record. The transcript has 2 exons. Lineage: Eukaryota; Metazoa; Chordata; Mammalia; Artiodactyla; Delphinidae.